Molecule: ribosomal RNA, 253 nt
Filed under: uncultured bacterium
Lineage: Bacteria
Description: partial 16S ribosomal RNA
Rfam family: Bacterial small subunit ribosomal RNA
Source: RNAcentral
UACGUAGGGGGCAAGCGUUGUCCGGAUUUAUUGGGUUUAAAGGGUGCGUAGGCGGAUUAGUAAGUCAGUGGUGAAAGCCCAUCGCUUAACGGUGGAAUUGCCAUUGAUACUGCUAGUCUUGAGUAUGGUUGAGGUGGGCGGAAUGUGUCAUGUAGCGGUGAAAUGCUUAGAUAUGACCCAGAACACCAAUUGCGAAGGCAGCUCGCUAAACCAUAACUGACGCUGAUGCACGAAAGCGUGGGGAGCAAACAGG